CAAAAUAAGUAUGGAGCAGCAGAAGUGGCACUUCUAAAAGACAUCACCACAAAAAACCUGUGGCCGAAAAGAAAGCAAGGUCGUAUGUCCCGGCACAAACACAGUAGGCUACCCAGCCACGAAGAUUAUCGUCCGUAUGUUCUGUUCCGCCACUCCAAAUUUUGGACACACCUCCAAGGCGUCAUCCACACUCCCCUCAUCUUGAUUCUUCGAGUCCUGGGAACAGCAUCCCUCCGCAACAACAGCAACACAGUGACAUGGAGGAGACAAACAUCUUAAAAAUGCAGCCAUUAAUGCAAGGAAUGAGCCCCCCAGCACCUGUGAGUACACCACCACAGCAAAGCACACCACCACCACAACACAGCCCAACAACACCAGGAACACAAGGCCCUGAUCAGGUGUUUUGGACCAUUUGGGCUAGACAGCAGGCCACUAAUGAAGAUUGCCUACGUAAGCAGACACAAAUGUUUGCAAGCCUACCAUCUCACCUCAGAAGAAUAUCAAGAAAUCUGAGUAGACAAAAUAAGCAAACAACCAGAAUAGGCAAUACCAUGGAACUCAUACGUACAGACAUUACACAGGUCAUGGGCAACUUACAGCGCAUAAUGGAAGAACAGCACAGACAGCAGCAAAGUUACAUGAGCAUUUUUCAAAACAAUCAAAAGAUUAAUGAAAGUUUAUUCAGAAUAGUAGACAAUCAAAAUGCUGCUACACGUGAACUCAAUGCCACCCUCACUAACCUGAAUGAAACACUCAGAUGCAUGCAGCAACCGCAAACAAGCAGCAGUUCUGGUACGACUACUCCAAAUGUCACGUCAGUCUCAUCACCACCAAGACGCUCCACCAGAGCACGACAACAUGACAGUGCUGAAGGCAAAGGGCAGGACAAGCAGCCACCAAAAAAAAAGUGGAAAAAAAUAAGUUAGACAUUUGUGAUAAGUAACUCAAAAAAGUUAGCAAGUGUUUUUGUUGCUAAAAUAAUAUAACACUUAGGUCCUUGACCCUUUUUUCAACAUCACAAAAAUUAUUAUAAAUUUUGGACGAACAUUUAUUCAAAACCAUUUUUAUUUGGUAUUGGAGGCGGGAAAUGUUGAUGGAGCCACACAUACAUGUUAGCAGGAACUAAACUGACCGCUUGAUUUUUUUCUAAUCAUUACUCUUUCUAGAUUCCAAUCAUUCUCUUUGCCUGCAGAUACAAUAAUUGCCAGCCAGGCAGAAUGUCUUUAGCAGGAAGUAAACUGACCACUUGAUUUUUUUCUAAUCAUUACUCUUUCUAGAUUCCAAUCAUUCUCUUUGCCUGCAGACAAUCCAAAAUACAAUGUUAGUGAUACAUAUCUUAGCUAUCUUAUCUAUACAACAUUAUAAGAAGAACACAAUUGAGUUGCGUAAAAAGCUUGUAAUAUGUUGCCUUUGUUUUGUUUGAAAAACAUUGUCCAAAUGAAUGUCAGUAUUGUUGGGACAUGUUUGUGUGUGUUUAAAAUUAUUAAGAAUGUUUUGACAAGUGAUGCAGAAACAAACAAAUAUGUAAUUUAAAACAAAAAGCACAAACUGUGUAUAAUAAUGUAUAUGUGUGGCAAACUGUGUAUUUACUUACACAUCAUCAAGUUUACAGCAUCAAACAUUAGGAAAUAAAAUAUUCCUGAUUACAGUAA
This is a long non-coding RNA of Pseudophryne corroboree (corroboree frog), 1652 nucleotides long. RefSeq lists it as uncharacterized. The record is from RefSeq and is a predicted model, not a curated record. NCBI's taxonomy places the organism in Eukaryota, Metazoa, Chordata, Amphibia, Anura, Myobatrachidae. The transcript is spliced from 2 exons.